This 758-nucleotide unclassified non-coding RNA is filed under the name Hevea brasiliensis (rubber tree). Lineage: Eukaryota; Viridiplantae; Streptophyta; Magnoliopsida; Malpighiales; Euphorbiaceae. The record is from RNAcentral.
UGUGCAUCAGAAUCUAGACUUCCACUUGCAAACCCCUGAUAGGCACUAUCAAAGAAAGGCAAUAACCCUUUAGAUCUUAUUAACUGCCUGAUAUUCUCCCACUGUUGAGGAGUUGGAUCAACGCCUGUAGGGUUAUGAGCACAUGCAUGCAAAAGUACAAUAGCUCCAGAUGGGGCAGAACCAAGAUCUUCCAACAAGCCUUGGAAGUUCAGCCCUCGUGUUGCUGGAUCAUAAUAGCGAUAGGUUUUUACAGAUAAACCAGCCAAAGUAAAAACUUUAGGGUGGUUUCCCCAUGUUGGCUGGGGAAUGUAUAUGGUGCGUUGGUGAUAAUGUCUGGCCAAAAAUUCAGCUCCAACCCUCAAAGAGCCAGUGCCAGACAAACAUUGAACUGUGGUAACCCUGUUCUCUUGAAUAGCAGGGCUGUCAGCACCAAAAAUAAGCUUAGCACUCAAUUUGUUGAAAUCAGCCAGUCCAGUAAUAGGAAGAUAUUCCUUUACACGUGACCUGUCAUUAACAAGUUGCUGCUCAGCCUUCCUCACUACAUUCAGAACAAGAGGUUUUCCUUCAUCAGUUCGAUAAGCGCCAACUCCCAAAUUCAGCUUGACGGGACUGGGGUCUUUGUUAUACGCGACGGUUACACCGAGGAUGGGGUCCUCAGGGGCCCGAACAACAUGAGAGAAAACAGAAUUGUCUUGAAAGCCGGAAGUAGGAGAAGCAGAGAUCGCAGUGGCGGUGUGGCUCUCAAAGUCCAUCUCCAC